This 248-nucleotide ribosomal RNA is filed under the name uncultured bacterium. RNAcentral describes it as "partial 16S ribosomal RNA". It matches the Rfam family "Bacterial small subunit ribosomal RNA", at positions 334 to 598 of the family's 1533-position model. The record is from RNAcentral.
UAUACCUACGGGAGGCAGCAGUGGGGAAUAUUGCACAAUGGGGGAAACCCUGAUGCAGCAACGCCGCGUGAGUGAAGAAGGUUUUCGGAUUGUAAAGCUCUGUUAGCAGGGAAGAGGAAGGACGGUACUUGCAGAGGAAGCCACGGCUAACUACGUGCCAGCAGCCGCGGUAAUACGUAGGGGGCAAGCGUUGUUCGGAAUAACUGGGCGUAAAGGAUGCGUAGGCGGAUAAACAAGGUAUAUGGUAA